GCUCAGGAUGAACGCUGGCGGCGUGCCUAAUACAUGCGAGUCGAGCGAACAGAUAAGGAGCUUGCUCCUUUGACGUUAGCGGCGGACGGGUGAGUAACACGUGGGUGACCUACCUAUGAGACUGGAAUAACUCCGGGAAACCGGGGCUAAUGCCGGAUAAUAUUUAGAACCGCGUGGUUCUAAAGUGAAAGAUGGUUUUGCUAUCACUUAUGGAUGGACCCGCGCCGUAUUAGCUAGUUGGUGGGGUAAUGGCUUACCAAGGCAACGAUACGUAGCCGACCUGAGAGGGUGAUCGGCCACACUGGAACUGAGACACGGUCCAGACUCCUACGGGAGGCAGCAGUAGGGAAUCUUCCGCAAUGGGCGAAAGCCUGACGGAGCAACGCCGCGUGAGUGAUGAAGGUCUUCGGAUCGUAAAACUCUGUUAUUAGGGAAGAACAAAUGUGUAAGUAACUGUGCACGUCUUGACGGUACCUAAUCAGAAAGCCACGGCUAACUACGUGCCAGCAGCCGCGGUAAUACGUAGGUGGCAAGCGUUAUCCGGAAUUAUUGGGCGUAAAGCGCGCGUGGGGGGGUUCCUUAAGUCUCAUUUGAGAUCCCACGUUUCAACCGUGCUCCCCCAUUGGAAACUGUAAGACUUGAGUGCAGAACAGAAAGUGGAAUUCCCUGUAUAGCUGAGAAAUGCGCGUAGAUGGGGAGGAACACCAGUGGAGAAAGCCCUGUUUCGAGCCCGAAACUGACGCCGAUCGUGCGAAAGCUAGGGGAUCAAAAAAAAGCGAUUUGAACCCCUGGUAGUCCACGACAGUCACACCAAGAUUGCAUAGCUUAAAGGGGAAUUCCCCCUUUCUUACGCAAGGUUGAAACUCAAAGGAAUUGACGGGGACCCGCACACGUGCUGGAGAAAUCCCAAGGUAUCCCAGGCAUUCGAAGAACCUUACCAAAUCUUGACAUCCUUUGACAACGAAAUGAAGGAGCCUUCCCCUUCGGGGGACAAAGUGACAGGUGGUGCAUGGUUGUCGUCAGCUCGUGUCGUGAGAUGUUGGGUUAAGUCCCGCAACGAGCGCAACCCUUAAGCUUAGUUGCCAGCAUUAAGUUGGGCACUCUACGUAACCCGUGAGCCAGGUAACCGGAGGAAGGUGGGGAUGACGUCAAAUCAUCAUGCCCCUUAUGAUUUGGGCUACACACGUGCUACAAUGGACAAUACAAAGGGCAGCUAAACCGCGAGGUCAUGCAAAUCSCAUAAAGUUGUUCUCAGUUCGGAUUGUAGGAUAGUACAGUUAGCAAAAAACUUUUAAUCGCUAGUAAUCGUAGAUCAGCAUGCUACGGUGAAUACGUUCCCGGGUCUUGUACACACCGCCCGUCACACACGAGAGUCUGUACACCCGAAGCCGGUGGAGUAACCAUUAUGGAGCUAGCCGUCGAAGGUGGGACAAUGAUUGGGGUGA
This 1445-nucleotide ribosomal RNA is filed under the name Staphylococcus nepalensis. RNAcentral's name for it is "bacterial SSU rRNA". Lineage: Bacteria; Bacillati; Bacillota; Bacilli; Caryophanales; Staphylococcaceae. The record is from RNAcentral.